This 403-nucleotide unclassified non-coding RNA is filed under the name soil metagenome. RNAcentral describes it as "partial contains 5.8S ribosomal RNA, internal transcribed spacer 2, and large subunit ribosomal RNA". The stretch from base 1 to 121 matches the Rfam family "5.8S ribosomal RNA", at positions 35 to 154 of the family's 154-position model. The record is from RNAcentral.
GAUGAAGAACGUAGCGAAAUGCGAUAAGUAAUGUGAAUUGCAGAAUUCAGUGAAUCAUCGAAUCUUUGAACGCACCUUGCGCCCUUUGGCUAUUCCGAAGGGCAUGCCUGUUUGAGUAUCAUGAACACCUCAACUCUUCACGGCUUGCCGUGAUGAGUUUGGACUUUGGGGGUCUUGCUGGCCUACGAGCCAGCUCCUCUCAAAUGUAUUAGCUUGCCGGUGUUUGGUGGCAUCACAGGUGUGAUAACUAUCUACGCUUGUGGUUUUCCACUAGGUAACCUUCAGCAAUGGAGGUUCACCGGAGCUCACAAAUGUCUCUCCUUGCCAAGGACAGAUUUUGACCAUUUGAUCUCAAAUCAGGUAGGACUACCCGCUGAACUUAAGCAUAUCAAUAAGCGGAGGA